CACAGCCGCCGUUCUCUGUGGUUCGCGGAAGGGCCCGCGGCGGCCAGAGGCAGGCCUGUUCCCGAGCGGCGGCCUGGCAACAUGUGGAGCCGGGGGAGAGCCUGCGUCUUCUCCGCGGGACUGUUGCUCGGGGUCCGCCGUCUAAGCAACGGCGCGGGCCGGAGGAAAGAGGCCCCGGCGGCCGCCGCUUCUUCCUUCUUUCUCAGCCAGCCGGAUGUUCAUGUGCACUUUCUAGACCAUGUUCUGACAAACAGAAUCAAGAGUAUUCAACUUAUAUUUGAAAGAAGAACAGGAACUCUCAUAGACAAAAGCUCGUUAGAUGAAACCAAGUAUGAAAAACUUGCUGAAGAAACACUGGAAUCGUUAACAGAUUUCUUUGAGGAUUUGGCAGACAAGCCAUUUACUUCUAAAGAUUACGAUGUCUCCUUUGGGAAUGGAGUACUAACAGUGAAACUCGGUGGAAACAUGGGAACUUACGUAAUCAAUAAACAGACACCAAAUAAACAGAUAUGGCUCUCUUCUCCAAUCAGUGGACCAAAGCGUUAUGACUGGACUGGGAAAAAUUGGAUUUAUUCUCAUGAUGGCAUUUCUCUUCAUGAUCUAUUGUCAAGGGAACUUUCACUUGCAUUAGCAAUUGAACUGAAUUUAUCAACUUUAACACACGCUGGUGGAGAGCCUAAUUCUUGAUAUCUGUCUAUAAGAAUCCAAAGACUUUGGACUUUGACCCAGUUCUUUCUUCCUCAUGAUCUGAACAUGGGUAACAUGAGGGAAGCUGCUGGGAAUUGAAAGGAGCCUCAAGAUUUGCAGAAAAUAAAAUGGAUGGGGAAAAACUCAAAAGGCCUCAUUAAGGGUGUCAUCAUUCUCAGGGGCCAUGAAUGCUGACCAACUGUUAAAAAAAUCUAUAGUUCUGUACCUCCGACUGGGAUGAAGGUUUGGUCCAUAAUGUUCUAUCUUCUUGACAAUAUAAAGGAGAUUUUCACAAUUGUUCUUGAUUCCAGGUAACAAAAAACCCCAUUUUUUGCCUCACAAAUGAGUCAUUCAAAUAAAAAUGAAAUUGCUAUUAAAAAGAAUAUAAAUGGGUUUCGAUCAUUGGUAUUUG
Molecule: RNA transcript, 1099 nt
Organism: Ahaetulla prasina
Lineage: Eukaryota; Metazoa; Chordata; Lepidosauria; Squamata; Colubridae
Gene: FXN
Gene name: frataxin
Exons: 6
Source: RefSeq, a predicted model, not a curated record